Molecule: non-coding RNA, 46 nt
Organism: Neotoma lepida (desert woodrat)
Lineage: Eukaryota; Metazoa; Chordata; Mammalia; Rodentia; Cricetidae
Source: Rfam
AAAAAGGCUCUUUUAAGAGCCAACUCCAUUAUCCAGAGAAGNUGCU